UUUUCCAUGUAUUUGCUGCUGUAGUCUCUAGGUGACAGGAGCAGUUAUACGCAUGGGAUGAAACAAUAUUGGGCCACUGCAAAUUGAGAUGAAGUCUGUUUUGUCUCUUCUGCAUGGUCUGAGACAAUG
Acomys russatus (golden spiny mouse) is the source of this 129-nucleotide small nucleolar RNA. RefSeq annotates it as small nucleolar RNA SNORA20. The transcript has a single exon. Lineage: Eukaryota; Metazoa; Chordata; Mammalia; Rodentia; Muridae. The record is from RefSeq and is a predicted model, not a curated record.